RNAcentral lists this ribosomal RNA (103 nucleotides) under uncultured bacterium. RNAcentral describes it as "partial 16S ribosomal RNA". It matches the Rfam family "Bacterial small subunit ribosomal RNA", at positions 1380 to 1482 of the family's 1533-position model. The record is from RNAcentral.
CUUGUACACACCGCCCGUCACACCAUGGGAGUUGGUUCUACCUUAAGCCGCCGUGCUAACCGCAAGGGAGCAAGCGUCCACGGUAGGGUCAGUGACUGGGGUG